CCCAAGAAUAUACUGGCUAACGCGGACCGCAAACUGAAAAUAUGUGACUUUGGACUUGCCCGUGCAUCAUUCAAUGAUGCCCCUUCAGCUAUAUUUUGGACAGAUUAUGUGGCAACAAGGUGGUACCGGGCACCUGAACUAUGUGGUUCCUUUUUCUCCAAAUACACUCCUGCAAUUGAUAUUUGGAGCAUUGGGUGCAUAUUUGCUGAACUUCUCACUGGAAGGCCACUAUUUCCUGGGAAGAAUAUUGUACACCAAUUAGAUAUUAUAACAGAUCUUCUUGGGACUCUAUCAUCUGAGACCUUAUCUCAGAUUCGAAAUGAGAAGGCCAAGAGAUAUUUGAG
Long non-coding RNA from Zea mays, 344 nucleotides. RefSeq lists it as uncharacterized. Lineage: Eukaryota; Viridiplantae; Streptophyta; Magnoliopsida; Poales; Poaceae. The transcript is spliced from 4 exons. The record is from RefSeq and is a predicted model, not a curated record.